RNAcentral lists this non-coding RNA (28 nucleotides) under Homo sapiens (human). The record is from RNAcentral. Lineage: Eukaryota; Metazoa; Chordata; Mammalia; Primates; Hominidae.
UGGAUGUUCAGUGGUGUCUGGGCACUGA